UGCGGAGGGAUCAUUACCGAGUUUACAACUCCCAAACCCCUGUGAACAUACCUUAUUGUUGCCUCGGCGGAUCAGCCCGCUCCCCGUAAAACGGGACGGCCCGCCAGAGGACCCAAACUCUAUUGUAUUUAGUGUAUCUUCUGAGUAACACAAACAAAUAAAUCAAAACUUUCAACAACGGAUCUCUUGGUUCUGGCAUCGAUGAAGAACGCAGCAAAAUGCGAUAAGUAAUGUGAAUUGCAGAAUUCAGUGAAUCAUCGAAUCUUUGAACGCACAUUGCGCCCGCCAGUAUUCUGGCGGGCAUGCCUGUUCGAGCGUCAUUUCAACCCUCAAACCCCCGGGUUUGGUGUUGGGGAUCGGAUUGCUAGUCAAUCCGUCUCCGAAAUCUAGUGGCGGUCUCGCUGCAGCCUCCAUUGCGUAGUAGCUAACACCUCGCAACUGGAACGCGGCGCGGCCAUGCCGUUAAACACCCAACUUCUGAAUGUUGACCUCGGAUCAGGUAGGAAUACCCGCUGAACUUAAGCAU
This 526-nucleotide ribosomal RNA is filed under the name Aschersonia sp. BPV109b. Its description in RNAcentral is "eukaryotic LSU rRNA". The stretch from base 167 to 320 matches the Rfam family "5.8S ribosomal RNA". The record is from RNAcentral. Lineage: Eukaryota; Fungi; Ascomycota; Sordariomycetes; Hypocreales; Clavicipitaceae.